GCAAGCAGCCAUAUCACCCUGCAACUCACAACUUGUAACCCACUGAAGCUAAGCAGGUGUGAGCCUGGUCAGUACCUGGAUGGGAGACCUCCUGGGAAAUACUAAGGUUGCUGCUGGAA
RNAcentral lists this ribosomal RNA (119 nucleotides) under Lepisosteus oculatus (spotted gar). Lineage: Eukaryota; Metazoa; Chordata; Actinopteri; Semionotiformes; Lepisosteidae. The record is from RNAcentral.